GGGGAGAGGCUGCCAGUGACUGAAGCUGAGGGGUGAGUCCUGCAGUGUCCAGGUGAACAACUGCAGAGCUGGAGCAAGUCUGGAUAUGCAGAGAGGAAACCUGUAAAACUGUGUCCAGCUGAGGGGAUCUGCUGAUGAAGAGGACCUGCUCUACAGGGGCAGGAGAAACUGUCCAGAGUUAAUACAUCCUGCCCUUCAUGCCAGAAAGCAGCAAAGUUCCUUUAUUUCGGAUGUGGAGACUAUGUGGACUAGGACCUAAAGCUUCUGCACGUGGGAAGCGCCCAGCUCUGCUGCUAUCCUGCUCCAUGCGGCCCCAGCACAAGCAGCACCGUGCUCUCCACACCAGAAUGCGGUGCCCUGCUGGACACGGUCAUGCCAGUGAGGGGGUCAAAGGAGAGCCUUCUAACUUUCAGCCUUUAUUGAUUCAUGAUCCCGCAGAAAUUUCUCUACCCAUGUGUUAAGUGUUGCGAGUUAUUUCUGCACACGCUCUGGAUGGAUAGAGAGGACUUGAAAAUGUGGAAAAUAUGUAAUACUCCUCCAAAUACCCUGCAGAUUUUAACAGCCUGCUCAUGAACCAACUCCAUUUUACUGCUGGUGCCCACAAUGGAAAGCAGAGUGCCAGCCCCUGGCAGCCCAAGCCCAACCCCUCACAACAGUGCCACUGUUGAAGCCCAGAGAAUCACUCCACGAGGACCACAGUCAGAAUGAAAGCACCAUCCUUGGACCUCAACACUCGCAGCAAUGCUAUAUAUUGAAAGCAGAACAUAGGUUUUCACUGCACAGACCCCAGGAAGCUUUUCAAAGUCCAUGCAGACCUGGGGAGUAGAUUUUUAGAUCCAUUAAAUGAUAGGCUUAAUUUCUUGGUUCACUUUUCCAACAUCCUUAAAAGUAGGCUAGCCUACAGAGAUCCACGGGCCAUUUGAGGAAAACUGCUCAGCUAGAAGGAAAGAGGAGGUGGAGUGUGGGAACUGCAAAGUAAGGGUCACUGCCAGUUUGUCGCUGAAGCAGCACAAGCCAGCAGGGAUCUGAGAUACCCAGCUCGUACUAAGUUCCUAUUAGGUACCAUUUUACUACUUCAAGAAGCCGUGUGUUAGUUACAUAGCAAAGUCCCACUUGCAGACAGGAUGGUUCCCCUGGCAGUGCUCCAGCAGGGCUCAGCACACCAACACCCCUGCACCCUCUGCAGCAAAGCAGCUUCCAGGGGAGCUUUCUCUUGAAGCUCUUCUGUGAUGCCAUGCACGCGUGAUCUGUUAAUGCUGCUCUCUGCUCUCCUACUCGUAUGUAGUAUACCUUGCAGCUCACUGAAAUAACACCCAAAAUUAUUUUUAUUGUCAAUAAAAAUGCCUUUAACGUUUUUGAAGGGUUCUGU
This 1369-nucleotide long non-coding RNA is filed under the name Anser brachyrhynchus (Pink-footed goose). RNAcentral describes it as "lncRNA (ENSABRG00000017109.1)". The record is from RNAcentral. Lineage: Eukaryota; Metazoa; Chordata; Aves; Anseriformes; Anatidae.